GAUACUGGCUCAGGAUGAACGCUAGCUACAGGCUUAACACAUGCAAGUUGAGGGGCAGCAUGGUCUUAGCUUGCUAAGGCCGAUGGCGACCGGCGCACGGGUGAGUAACGCGUAUCCAACCUGCCUUACACUCUUGGACAGCCUUCUGAAAGGGAGAUUAAUACAAGAUGUUAUCAUGAGUAAGCAUUUUCGCAUGAUUAAAGGUUUACCGGUGUAAGAUGGGGAUGCGUU
Molecule: ribosomal RNA, 231 nt
Filed under: uncultured bacterium
Lineage: Bacteria
Description: partial 16S ribosomal RNA
Rfam family: Bacterial small subunit ribosomal RNA
Source: RNAcentral